GGGUUGUGAGGUUAAGCGACUAAGCGUACACGGUGGAUGCCCUGGCAGUCAGAGGCGAUGAAGGGCGUGCUAAUCUGCGAUAAGCGCCGGUAAGGUGAUAUGAACCGUUAUAACCGGCGAUUUCCGAAUGGGGAAACCCAGUGUGAUUCGUCACACUAUCAUUAACUGAAUCCAUAGGUUAAUGAGGCGAACCGGGGGAACUGAAACAUCUAAGUACCCCGAGGAAAAGAAAUCAACCGAGAUUCCCCCAGUAGCGGCGAGCGAACGGGGAGGAGCCCAGAGCCUGAAUCAGCAUGUGUGUUAGUGGAAGCGUCUGGAAAGGCGCGCGAUACAGGGUGACAGCCCCGUACACAAAAGCGCAUGUGCUGUGAGCUCGAUGAGUAGGGCGGGACACGUGGUAUCCUGUCUGAAUAUGGGGGGACCAUCCUCCAAGGCUAAAUACUCCUGACUGACCGAUAGUGAACCAGUACCGUGAGGGAAAGGCGAAAAGAACCCCGGCGAGGGGAGUGAAAAAGAACCUGAAACCGUGUACGUACAAGCAGUGGGAGCCCCACCACCAAAGCAUUCUCUGGUGUUGAAGGCCCUGCAAAGCAGCAUCGCGGUGGCGGAGCGUCGUUUGCGACGCCCAACACACAAAACAAGCGGUGAGUGCUUUGGGGUGGGGUGACUGCGUACCUUUUGUAUAAUGGGUCAGCGACUUAUAUUCUGUAGCAAGGUUAACCGUAUAGGGGAGCCGUAGGGAAACCGAGUCUUAACCGGGCGUUAAGUUGCAGGGUAUAGACCCGAAACCCGGUGAUCUAGCCAUGGGCAGGUUGAAGGUUGGGUAACACUAACUGGAGGACCGAACCGACUAAUGUUGAAAAAUUAGCGGAUGACCUGUGGCUGGGGGUGAAAGGCCAAUCAAACCGGGAGAUAGCUGGUUCUCCCCGAAAGCUAUUUAGGUAGCGCCUCGUGAAUUCAUCUCCGGGGGUAGAGCACUGUUUCGGCUAGGGGGCCAUCCCGGCUUACCAACCCGAUGCAAACUGCGAAUACCGGAGAAUGUUAUCACGGGAGACACACGGCGGGUGCUAACGUCCGUCGUGAAGAGGGAAACAACCCAGACCGCCAGCUAAGGUCCCAAAGUCAUGGUUAAGUGGGAAACGAUGUGGGAAGGCCCAGACAGCCAGGAUGUUGGCUUAGAAGCAGCCAUCAUUUAAAGAAAGCGUAAUAGCUCACUGGUCGAGUCGGCCUGCGCGGAAGAUGUAACGGGGCUAAACCAUGCACCGAAGCUGCGGCAGCGACGCUGAUGCGUUGUUGGGUAGGGGAGCGUUCUGUAAGCCUGUGAAGGUGGCCUGUGAGGGUUGCUGGAGGUAUCAGAAGUGCGAAUGCUGACAUAAGUAACGAUAAAGCGGGUGAAAAGCCCGCUCGCCGGAAGACCAAGGGUUCCUGUCCAACGUUAAUCGGGGCAGGGUGAGUCGACCCCUAAGGCGAGGCCGAAAGGCGUAGUCGAUGGGAAACGGGUUAAUAUUCCCGUACUUGGUGUUACUGCGAAGGGGGGACGGAGAAGGCUAUGUUGGCCGGGCGACGGUUGUCCCGGUUUAAGCGUGUAGGUGUGUGUUCCAGGUAAAUCCGGUUCACUUUAACACUGAGGCGUGAUGACGAGGCACUACGGUGCUGAAGCAACAAAUGCCCUGCUUCCAGGAAAAGCCUCUAAGCAUCAGGUAACAUCAAAUCGUACCCCAAACCGACACAGGUGGUCAGGUAGAGAAUACCAAGGCGCUUGAGAGAACUCGGGUGAAGGAACUAGGCAAAAUGGUGCCGUAACUUCGGGAGAAGGCACGCUGACACGUAGGUGAAGUGAUUUACUCAUGGAGCUGAAGUCAGUCGAAGAUACCAGCUGGCUGCAACUGUUUAUUAAAAACACAGCACUGUGCAAACACGAAAGUGGACGUAUACGGUGUGACGCCUGCCCGGUGCCGGAAGGUUAAUUGAUGGGGUCAGCGCAAGCGAAGCUCCUGAUCGAAGCCCCGGUAAACGGCGGCCGUAACUAUAACGGUCCUAAGGUAGCGAAAUUCCUUGUCGGGUAAGUUCCGACCUGCACGAAUGGCGUAAUGAUGGCCAGGCUGUCUCCACCCGAGACUCAGUGAAAUUGAACUCGCUGUGAAGAUGCAGUGUACCCGCGGCAAGACGGAAAGACCCCGUGAACCUUUACUAUAGCUUGACACUGAACAUUGAGCCUUGAUGUGUAGGAUAGGUGGGAGGCUUUGAAGCGUGGACGCCAGUCUGCAUGGAGCCGGCCUUGAAAUACCACCCUUUAAUGUUUGAUGUUCUAACGUGGACCCGUGAUCCGGGUUGCGGACAGUGUCUGGUGGGUAGUUUGACUGGGGCGGUCUCCUCCUAAAGAGUAACGGAGGAGCACGAAGGUUGGCUAAUCCUGGUCGGACAUCAGGAGGUUAGUGCAAUGGCAUAAGCCAGCUUGACUGCGAGCGUGACGGCGCGAGCAGGUGCGAAAGCAGGUCAUAGUGAUCCGGUGGUUCUGAAUGGAAGGGCCAUCGCUCAACGGAUAAAAGGUACUCCGGGGAUAACAGGCUGAUACCGCCCAAGAGUUCAUAUCGACGGCGGUGUUUGGCACCUCGAUGUCGGCUCAUCACAUCCUGGGGCUGAAGUAGGUCCCAAGGGUAUGGCUGUUCGCCAUUUAAAGUGGUACGCGAGCUGGGUUUAGAACGUCGUGAGACAGUUCGGUCCCUAUCUGCCGUGGGCGCUGGAGAACUGAGGGGGGCUGCUCCUAGUACGAGAGGACCGGAGUGGACGCAUCACUGGUGUUCGGGUUGUCAUGCCAAUGGCACUGCCCGGUAGCUAAAUGCGGAAGAGAUAAGUGCUGAAAGCAUCUAAGCACGAAACUUGCCCCGAGAUGAGUUCUCCCUGAGACUUAGAGUCUCCUGAAGGAACGUUGAAGACGACGACGUUGAUAGGCCGGGUGUGUAAGCGCAGCGAUGCGUUGAGCUAACCGGUACUAAUGAACCGUGAGGCUUAACCUUACAACGCCGAAG
This 3029-nucleotide ribosomal RNA is filed under the name Salmonella enterica subsp. enterica serovar Choleraesuis. Its description in RNAcentral is "bacterial LSU rRNA". It matches the Rfam family "Bacterial large subunit ribosomal RNA". Lineage: Bacteria; Pseudomonadati; Pseudomonadota; Gammaproteobacteria; Enterobacterales; Enterobacteriaceae. The record is from RNAcentral.